Molecule: ribosomal RNA, 423 nt
Filed under: uncultured bacterium
Lineage: Bacteria
Description: bacterial SSU rRNA
Rfam family: Bacterial small subunit ribosomal RNA
Source: RNAcentral
AAGACCUUGCGCUUUUGGAGCGGCCGAUGUCUGAUUAGCUUGUUGGUGAGGUAAAGGCUUACCAAGGCUUCGAUCAGUAGCUGGUCUGAGAGGACGACCAGCCACACUGGGACUGAGACACGGCCCAGACUCCUACGGGAGGCAGCAGUGGGGAAUUUUGGACAAUGGGGGCAACCCUGAUCCAGCCAUGCCGCGUGAGUGAAGAAGGCCUUCGGGUUGUAAAGCUCUUUCAGCCGGAACGAAACGGUUACGAUUAAUACCCGUAACUACUGACGGUACCGGAAGAAGAAGCACCGGCUAACUACGUGCCAGCAGCCGCGGUAAUACGUAGGGUGCGAGCGUUAAUCGGAAUUACUGGGCGUAAAGCGUGCGCAGGUGGUUUUGUAAGUCAGAUGUGAAAUCCCCGGGCUUAACCUGGGAACU